GGUUGCCACACUAGAAUUUGAUCGUGUUCGAAAGUCUAUGAGUGUUAUUGUCCGGGAGCCAACUGGGCGUAACCGACUUCUUGUCAAGGUGACUCGUUUUUUGUCUCAUUGCUGUCUACAGCUGGGUUUGAGUUUGCUGUUAUAGCAUGUUUUCAUGCUUGAUGCACUGUCUGGUGCUUGUAUAAUUUAACGGUUGCAAUUUGCAGGGUGCUGUUGAGAGUUUACUGGAGCGCACUUUGCAUGUACAACUUGCUGAUGGAUCCCUUGUUCCAAUAGACGAACCUUGUAAACAAUCAUUGCUCUUGAGACUCUUGGACAUGAGCUCAAAGGGAUUGCGGUGCUUGGGUUUCGCAUAUAAGGAGGAGUUGGGAGAGUUUUCAGAUUAUCAUUCUGAGAGCCAUCCUGCUCACAAGAAGCUGCUUGAUCCAGCCUGCUACUCCUCCAUUGAAAGUGACUUAGUUUUUGUAGGCAUUGUUGGGUUAAGAGUAUGUAUAUGCCACAAAUGUUUUGCUACUUGAUGAUUUUCAAGGUUCAAAAUUUCAAAUAUUUCAUUUAAUAACUAUUUUUCACAGGACCCUCCUCGUGAUGAAGUUGGAAAAGCAAUUGAAGAUUGCAGAGAAGCUGGAAUUAGAGUUAUGGUAAUAACUGGAGAUAACAAGUCCACAGCUGAGGCUAUCUGUCAAGAAAUCAAGUUGUUCUCUAAAGAAGAGGAUCUGAAAGGGAGAAGUUUUACUGGAAAAGAGUUCAUGGUUCUACCCCAGCCACAACAAAUGGAAAUUUUAGCAAAACCGGGAGGGAAGGUUUUCUCUCGUGCGGAGCCUAGGCAUAAGCAAGAGAUAGUAAGGAUGCUGAAAGAGAUAGGGGAGAUUGUUGCAAUGACCGGAGAUGGAGUGAACGAUGCACCGGCACUUAAACUUGCUGACAUUGGGAUUGCCAUGGGCAUCACAGGAACUGAGGUGGCAUUCACACUCACUCUUGGAACAUAGGAUGAUGCCCUCUGCCACUAACAGUUCUCAUUAACUUGGAGCCUUGCAAUGUGACUUCUAACCCUUCAUGUUUUAUAUCCCAGGUUGCAAAAGAAGCUUCAGAUAUGGUUUUGGCAGAUGAUAAUUUCAGUACUAUUGUUUCAGCUGUUGCCGAAGGCCGUGCCAUUUACACUAACAUGAAAGCUUUUAUCAGGCAUAUCUCUCUCUUUGUUCAUCAUCAUAAGCAUAAUAUGUUCCCUCCCUCUCUCACCUUUUUCUUCCUUUGAGUAAGAACUUUUCAAUCUCUCAUUCUGCAGGUACAUGAUUUCUUCAAAUGUUGGAGAGGUAAUAUCCAUAUUCUUGACCGCGGCAUUGGGAAUACCCGAAUGUAUGAUACCUGUGCAGCUUCUGUGGGUAAAUCUGGUCACUGACGGACCACCUGCAACAGCUCUUGGAUUUAACCCGGCUGACAUGCAUAUUAUGAAGAAACCGCCCCGCAAAAGUGACGAUGCUCUUAUGAGUCCUUGGGUUCUUUUCCGUUACCUGGUUAGUAUGUCCUACUUUUAAUUGAGCUUCAGCAUGCCAUGCAAAAGUCAUAAACUUUACAUGUUCACAACUGCAGGUAAUUGGUUCUUAUGUGGGCAUUGCAACUGUUGGCAUUUUCAUCUUGUGGUAUACUCAGGCUUCCUUUAUGGGCAUCAAUCUUGUGAGUGAUGGACAUACACUUGUCGAACUAUCUCAGCUUCGAAAUUGGGGAGAGUGUCCGUCAUGGUCGAAUUUUACCGUGGCUCCGUUCACAGUUAGGGGAGGUCGGACUAUCAGUUUCUCUGACCCUUGUGACUAUUUCUCUGUUGGUAAAGUGAAGGCAAUGACUUUGUCACUCUCUGUCUUGGUGGCCAUUGAGAUGUUCAAUUCCCUCAAUGCUCUUUCUGAAGAUAUUAGCUUGGUCAAAAUGCCACCUUGGAGGAACCCUUGGCUCUUGGUUGCCAUGUCAGUCUCAUUUGGACUUCAUUGCCUCAUUCUCUACAUUCCCUUUUUAGCAGACGUGUUUGGCGUUGUUCCAUUGAGUCUGAAUGAAUGGCUCCUGGUAAUUUUGAUCUCGGUGCCGGUGAUACUUAUUGACGAGGUUCUUAAAUUAGUAGGAAGGAGGAGAAGAUGGAGAGCAAAGAAGGAGAAAACAGCAUGAUAAAAUCUCAGGUUAUUAUGAUCAGUAGGAAAGCAGAUUCAUUCUGGAUGUGACACAGCAUAGAAACCAUGUAGUUAAUUAGAAUUCUCUGAUAACCAUUUUUAUCUGUUCACUUUCACUUUCAAUUUGUAUUGGUUUUUUUUUUUGUGAAAGUAAAGGCAUUAAACACAUUUGUUCAUUAAUUAAAAUAGAAAUGAAAAAUAUUUAAUCUCUGGGUUGUUAAAGGCAAUUGAUUCAAACAUCUUCCAAGUCCUAAAUGACGGAUAUGUUUUUCAGCAGCUGCUUCAAUGAAACAUUCAGCAUAUACUGCAUAGACAACAUAACUUAUUCUAAAGGACACAAAUUAACCUGAAAAUUUAUUUUGAAUUUUUGAACUUCUUUUCCUAUGUAUACACAAGAAAGAAUCCAGAUCCUAUAUUAGAAAAGAAUUUAAUUGUGGUUGAAAAAAUGGCCUCAGCUUCCCUUACCAGUCCACCAGUGAUGGCUUACACUGAUUUAUCUUCUCCUUACACCAUUAUACACAUAUCAAGCUUCAAAUACACAGACAGAAACCAACUUCCUGCGGCACCACAUGUAUGAGCCGCAAACCAACUUCCCCCUGGUCCAACAGCAGCAGAAUUUAAAUUCUCAUUCGGAUCUUGACGCUGCGACUCGAAAAAUAAAAUUGCAUCCAUCCAAUCACACGUCACUGAAACCAGAUAAUGACAUACUGACCAGAGAGCCAUGCUUAUAAAAAUAUGAAGGGCUCCCAUGUCUAUAGCUUUGCAUGGCAAGUCCUCCGGUAACUUUUAGAGAUCGUUGUGAAGUUUAAAGCAUAAAAGUGAAUUUAUGCCUGAUCUCUAAAUCAUUGACAUAUGUAGCUGUAACCAUGAAGUUCCUUCAGAAAUAGGAAGACUGAUCAUGAAGCACAUUCAAGUGAGCAAGUAUUCUAGCUGCCAUAGAUUUAACACUACCACUUCCACGUUGAGUUAAGUCAACUAAAGGCAUCUGAGCUAACGAUCCAAACUUCUGUUUAAACUCCAGCAGCCGGAACAUUCUUUCUAGAGCAUGUAGAGCCUUCUCCUGCAAACUAGGGUAGGGUUGAACAAGAAAUUUUAUUAUAGGUGGGAUGGCAUUUGCGUCUGUAAGCACCUUACUACCGGUCUGCAGUCUCUCACCUUCAAUUAAAGUUAAUAGUGCAUCUAAAGAAGCUUCACACGCUCCAGGAUCAGGUUCUCCCAGAAUCCUAACUAGUGGUCCCACUGCAUCAGCCUCCACCAGGCAAAAUGACGAAACAAUGCUACAUAUUCCUCCAUGAACAGGGCAUCCAGUUUCUGGCGGGGCCGAGAAGCAGCAGAAUCCUUUGCGGUUAGGUAAAGACCUGCUCAACAGUGGUGAACUCUCUGAAAAUCGAGAAAGAGAUAUGGCUGCACGUUUUUUUGUCAAGGAGGUUCCAGACUCCAGCAACUGUACGAACAAGGGUAUAAUGCCAGCUUCAGCUGCACUCUUUUGCCAUUCCAAGUUUGUUGAAACAGUGAAACGACAAAUGGCUCCAACGGCAUUCUCUAUCAACUGAUUCUUAUGGGGACCAUUCUGCUUGCCAUUCUGGAGAAAACUGAAUACGGCAGGUAGUGCCCCAGCAUCCACAAGCCACUGUGUGAUCUUGGGGAUUUCUGGAAGGUUAGAGAUAAUGCCCAUUGCAGAAGCAAUCUCUUCUUCAUCGUCAGAAACUUUGAUGAUCUUGAGUAUAGUCUCAAUGCACUUCUGAUUCACAUGCUCCAGGAUGGGGGUGGAUUCACUGCCACCUUCUACUAAGCAAGAGAACAGCUUUACAGCAUUUGCUCGUAGGUUUAGGUCAUCAUUCUCACACAACUGAACCAAUACUUGUAUUGCGGAGGACUGUAAAAGUAACCAAAUCAGUUAAAGCUUAUCUACCAGAAGCUGAGUAAAUCAAGUUAGCGUCUGGUAAAGAUGUUAUUAUUCCAAGUAUUGAGAUAAUUGUAAAAAUGGAACUAGGAAUUUAAACUCUAAAAUUCAAUAGGCUGCACCUGAGUUUACAUUUUCUAACUUCAUAGUGUAUCAGCGUAAGGGUUGAAAAUAAUCAACCUCAACAUGGGGUAAACCCAUCAGGAGGAGACAAGAACUAAAAAAGAUGUCAGAAAAUGUUAUUAACACGACCUUCUCUUAAUAAACCUUCAAUGAGUUUCUUUUUCAUUAUUAUGGGAAUUUCGAAUGUGCAUCAUUAAUCCAAAUUGGGCAAACACUACCCUAGUUGUUAAAGUUUUCACGAGUGUGAUUUAGGAAAGUUGAUUGAUGAUGACUACUAAUUGCAAAACAUGAAUCUCAAUGCAGUUUCUCAACAAAAAAAGGCCUGCAACUUGAAGCUUCACCUAAUGUUAUUUCAGUUUGAUUUCCCUUCCAGGUCUUUUCUGUUAAGAAAUAACAUUAAGCGAAGCUUCAGCUUGCAGGACUUUGCACUACCUCCCAAUUUCUUAUGAGACUAGCCACCCUUGGAUAUUCUCAUGCCAUUCAAACUUCGAGAUCCCAUUAACAUUCUACUAGUAGACUCGUGUAGGCAGGAAACCAAUUUUUAUUGAAAUAAAAAUGUCUUCUAGAAUAAAACACACACCUGUAUCAACUUGGUCUUGAUACUUAUAGCAGAGGGGGAUUGACACAAGGUGUGGAAGGUGCGAAUAAUGCUUUUCUGUACAUUAGGCCCCAUCAAGUUAAUCAAAGAGAAAAGCUUUAAAAUAUCUUCAUCCGAUUCCAAAAAUGAAACAGGUGUCUGGCUGGAUUCUAGAGACACUGACAUGGCGAGGUGCAUAAUUGUGGCUGCUAAAUAUUCACGCAAACUUGACAAUGACGAGCUAAGAUUGAAAAGAAGGUCAAGUAAUGGGCGCUCUGCACCUUCUCGAAUCAUCUGCAGACCAUUUUUAGGUAAGCUUGAGAGGUUUCUAAGAGCUUUAACAGCCACAGUUUUAAUUGGAAUGUCACCAUGUGAGACCAAAUACAGAAGUGGACACAGUACUCCUCCUUCUAUCAAAGAUUCUUUAUUGUGGUCAGUCAACUCCAUCUCUGCCAAAUUUGAUGCCAUGGCCAUUUUCACAUCUUCUGGUCCUGAAUAUAAAAAAAUGGCAAUUUUAUAGCAACAAACCUUCAUUACUCAUAAAAUGAACCGUUGACACAUAAACUGCAGCAAACAUACAAACUGAAAAUCACAUUGCCAUACCUAAGGCUAAAUUUUUCGAUAAAUAUAAACAUAAAAUAGAUAGAGCACAUAUAAGCUUUCAUAAACCACACCAAAAGAUCUCUUAACAUACAAUUAAAUUUAACAUAAUCAUAUUCAAGGAAGCAAACAUGUAAACUAUUGGAAUUCUAUUGAAUCAAGCGUAAACUUGGAUCACUGAUGAACAUGUUGUAGUGAUAAAACUAAGAUUGCUAACCUUUUUUACCACAUACAAUGCUAAAAUUCAGAAGGAACCAUUACAUAUCAUACUAAAGGUUGCAACAAUGAAUUUGAACCCAGAACUUGUAGGGUUAUUUUAGUAAAGGUUGCAACAUUAUUUUAGAAAGAUCUAUUUUACAAUCUGCAUGAGGGGCUUCUUAUUAUACAACCUAAAAAAAGAAGAAAGAUCCUGUACAAAAGAAAUUAUUAUGAAAGAAGAUAAGAGAACCUGCAGAGAGACGCUGCAGCAAAUGUGUAAAAUAAUUUGCCUUUGCCAUCUGUAUAACGUUCUGAUCAGAGAAUGAUAGAUUCUCCAAUAGUUCUCGUGCGUCUUUGGCAGCCCGAUUAUCGUCACUGUUGGACAUGGUAACUAAUAGGAGUAUGGAACCUUGAACCUUCCCUAUUUGCUCUCUUAUCGGAUUGCUUUUGGAUAAUUCCAAAAGUAACGCCACUGCUAACUUCCUUUCCUCAACACGGCGGCCAAGUGAACGAACAAUAGAUUCAAUGCCAUUAUCAGCUUUGUUAAUUCUUUCCUGCAACAUUAACUAUAAGGUUAUAGCCAUACAUGAGGGAAUUAAGAAGAGAUAACGUAGAAAAAUAAAAUGUAUUUAUUACUACAAAUAAUAAGCGCAUGUUUUUCUUCUUUCUUUUUGUGUAGGCAAAUGAAGAACAUCAUUGUUCAUUAAAAGAAUAUUACUGCACAAGGGGCAUUUUACAGACUUGUGCGUCUGUUGCUAGGCAUUAUAUAUAAAAACACAGAGGGAGAGAGAGAGAGAGAGAGAGAGAGAGAGAGAGAGAGAGAGAGAGAGAGAGUACACGAUGUAGUUAAGGUAAGCAAAGUAUUACCUUCGCAUCAUCACUAUCCUUCACCAAAAUGCAUAGGUUCACAAGAGCAUGGUUCCUUAUCUCAGGAUUUUUAACACCAAGAAGUUGUAUGAGAAUAGGUAUGUAGUUCUCCAGUAUGACCCAUUCCUUAUGCAGAUCUCUUUCUUUACAGAGAUCUAGUAGUUCACCGAGGCAAUGAAGCACUUCUUCGUCUUCUUCAGACUGGAGUUUUGAUUUCAAGGAAGCAAUCAUAAUCAUAGUAUUCCUGUCUUUCCAUUCUUCUAUUGAUUGCCGCAGAGUUUUAUUGGGCCGUAAAAUUGAUGUGUCUAAAGAAGUCAUGGUCAGGGGGCACGAUGUGUUCCCAUCAGCAAACCACUUUUCUAUAGCACUUCUCUCAAAUGUCUGUCCAGAAGAAGUUUCCACAGGGUCCACCAUAACUUCCCUGGUGAUUGGGCAAAUAAAUGAUUGAAGCGGUUCCAAUGGUUGACCACCCAAAGAUUUCCGCUUAAUGAUAUACUUCAUUUCUUUCUCCCUAGGAGAUGAAGCUGCAUCAGCCCUUUCUAAUAGAGCAAUUAUCUGUUCCAUCUGUAUAGCUUCAGCCUGGUCUUUCCUCAGCCGGGCAUUUUCUAUCUCGCUCCUGAAUUCCUCUAAUUCCUUCUUUAACACUGACCUCUCAGUUGAGAUUCCAACUGCCUCUGCAAUGAGAACCAGCAAAUUAUUGGCAUAAGAACGAUCCAUAUUUCUCUCCUGGAUUCCAGAAUCAAUUUUGUCCAAAAUCUCUUCCUCUGCUAUUGCUGCCCUGAACUCAGCUCUCUGCAUAUUGUCACAAAGCUUUUCAAUUUCUUCAAUUAUGCCAGAUGAAAGAUCUAGAGAAGUCAGGGGAAGAAGACUUAAAGCCCGACUGAUCUCUCUCAUUAUGUCCUCUAGGCGCUUAACUAUAUUACGGCAAUUCAUUAAGAGAUACACUUUGUUUCUCUUGCUGCACUCAUGAGUCAGUUGCUUUGCAGCUCUGAUUUCUCGGUAAAGAAUCUCCAUAACAUUGUUCAAGCUCUCAGAAUGAACAACAGUUUUCUUGUUCAACUCUCUUAAGAUGGGGACUACCCUUACCACAUAACUUGCAAGCUCCUUGAAAGUAUCCUUCUUAACAAGGACAUCAUUGGCAGCAGCUACAAUUUCAAAAAUGGCCUCUACUGUUUGAGAAAUGACUUCUGAAGCCGGAGCAGAUACAGCACUUGAAACCAAGUCCACUGCCAACAUUUUGCAACUCACUGAAACUAGCAAGCGAGAUCCUCAUUUCCCAUUUGACUGCACAAUUGACAAAAAGUGGCAGAAGCCCUCUUGCAGGACAACAACCAGAAGCUUUUGAUCCAAAAUAGUUUUCAUGCCAUGCAUUCAGUUUCAAUCUGAAAUAUCAGAGUAUUUGCUUAGUCUUAGUCUUGCUACACUACAUUGAUUAUACUUGAAUUUAUUUACUCAUAUACAUCUGGACCAACUCCCCAUUCAGUCAUGGAGAACCAGGCAGAAAUGAAAAUCACACAAAAGUAAAAGUCACAUACAAAUUUCGGUUUGGUUGCUGAGAAUUAACAAUUAAGUCUUGUAUUCUUUCGUAAUUUUGAGAUAUGGAGAGUUCCGCUCAAUGUCCCUAAUCCAACCAUUAGUCUCCAUUAUUGUACAGAAACCAAAAGACAUGAGUAACACUGAACCUGUCAUUUUCUUCUCUAACCUUCAGUUUCCUCUGCCAUCAAAGGGAAAAUCGUUUUGUUUUGUUUAUCAACAAAGGAAAGACUGAAAUUAAGCUCAGCUAUAAGUUUGUACUGGCAAUAAGUCUACUCAGUCUAAUUCCCUUGCUUCAUUAAAAAAAUAAUGAAAUUUUGUACCCAUAAAAACCCUUUCAUUCUUUGCUACUUUCUCUCAGCAACCAAACAGAGUUAACAUACAUAACCAUUCAUUCUUUGCUACUUUCUCUCAGCAACCAGAGUUAACAUACAUAACCAUUCUAGAAAGCUACUGUUUUUUUGCUUUUUCUGGUCAGAGAAACUUGAAACAAAUACUAGUAAGUUCUAGUCCUAAUUCAAUAUACUGAAAUCAAUAAUGCUUCAAUUUCCAGCUUAUUUCUUCAAAUUUAGGCUCAAAUUGCAAUUCAGAAGGACCCCAUUAAACAGCAAGCAUGCAAUAAAGCAGAAGGCCAAGACCCUUUUAGUCAACAACAAAGUCUUCACUGAUUCAAAAAGAAAAAGUUUAAGAGACAGACCUGGGAAAGAGUUUAUGCCCAUCAAAAUUCACAGCACCAUCAAUCUUUUCAACACAAUUUCUGCAGAAAAUGCACCGAAAUUUCCCGUGAAAAUUAUCAAUCAACUCACCACAGAGGCCUUUCAAAAAUGGAAAGGAAAUUUGAAAACUAGGAUUAAAAGAAAUACCUUUUCUCUUUUUUCUCUUCUUUUCUGUUUUUGGGUAAUUUAGGAAAGUUGCAAUCUGAAAAAUAAAUUGUCUUUAAGUUUGUUGCCUCCAAGUGGAGACUCUCUCCCCCAAGUCCCAAGUCUUGACCUUUUCCUUGAAGGAUUUUUCUGAGUCAAAUUUUCACAGAAGUAAAAUGGAGAAAUUAUCUUUCUGGGUCUUUGCUCAUGUGACCGUUGACUGAAAUACUAUAUCAAACUUGAAGAUUAGAUGAGACCAAAAAAAAAAAAAAUACCCAACUUCGUUCCAGAGGUAAAACAAAAAUAGCUCGCAGCUUAUCUAGCCUUUGGAAAACACCACCAUGCCACUGCCGUCCGUCUUUGAAAAGUAUAAAGAAGUUCUUAAACACGUUUUCGACCAAAAAAAAUAAAAGAAGGCCCGUUGCCAUCUCACUGGUCAAUCACGUUUUUCCUUUUUCCACAGAAAGAGAAAAAAAAAAUCUUUUGAACUUUAAAACGCACUUAUUGUCCAUUGCAUUUGUUUUUUCCCAUUCGAUUCAUUCAAUUCAUAUGUCGUCCCCACCCCAGGGUUAAGCUGCCAUAUAGUUUUCGAAUAAUUUUAGGAAAAUACUAGGGAGGUCAACUUUAGAUACCAACUUGUGUACCAACUCUCUAAUAGAGUCUGUGACCCAUUGUAUUGGUGGGUUCCACCUCUAUUAGAGAGUUGGUACACAAGUUGGCAUCUAAAGUUGGUCUCCCUAGCAUGACCCAUAAUUUUAACGUUUCCCUUUAUCUUUUUCAUUAAAAACUGAAUUUCUAUUUAAUGAUUUGUUUCUUAACUUUCUUAUUAUUUUAUCCACAUCAGGCGAUAAAAUUUUAUUAGAUUGAUAGAAGUAAUAGUAUUAAAGGAGUUAUCCUAAUAACAAUAUAACAGACAUGAGUAAAACUUCUCAUGUGACAUAAUCCAUCGAAAAAGCUGAAACGAUCUGGAGAGAAUCCACAUCUAUUUUCACUUUUUUAAUCCUUUAAACUAGAAAUCUAUUCUCACUUAUUGUCAUUUCACAUACAAAUUUGUGACGUGGUGAUACUUCAACGGUUGUACAAAAUAACGGGGUUUCAUGCAGCAAAAAGAAAUAAGCUCUCUCAUGAACUGAAUUCUUUUGUGCAUUAACACAAAAUUACCAUUGGUAUGUUUUAAGGCACAUUGUGCUGAGUCGUUUUUAAGACAUUAUUUGCCCCCACUAAUCGUAUAUAUGAUUUACUGAAGUGUAGUAAAAUACAACGCAGAAAGUAUAUCAACUUUUUGCUGCAUUAUAAUGCACUGACGAAUCCCCAGGACUAUCAUGAUUAUCUCCACCCACCAUCAUAUUCUACACCCAGCUGAAUGCUGGUCAUGAACCUCUGAAAUUUUCAAGAAGCAGCAUAUGGUGAAAAGUGGAAAGCAAAGAAAGGUCCAUGGAUGAAGAAUUCAAAGCUAAAGAGAAGAAUUCAAAUGGAUUUACAAAAUAAAGAGUAAAAUUUGUAAUGUGCAACAGAUUACAGAAAAUCUACUCAUCCCAAUUUUUUCUUUUAGGUACUUGGUAUGAUCAUUGUCUCUCUUUCAACAAAAUCUAAAAUUUUAUACCAACACAAUCCAUUUCCGGGAAGAUUAACAAAUUUCACUGAAUUGGUGAAGCAUUAUAUGAUGUGUUCAAAAACGACCAACAAGUAAAAUGUUGUUCUCCUCCUGCCCCAAAUGAUCCAUUCUAGUAUUGAAAAAAAUUUGGGCAUUUCUGCAAUUGUGGGAAACUGAGAGUGAUCAUCACCAAGAAUAUCCAGAACAUUAUCAAAAAUAUGAGCUUUGAUGAGCUUACAAACUUAUUUGGAUAUCCAAUUUGAAUGUUGGACAGCCAUAUUAUGCAUUCAUACAGCACAACUAGUUUUUGCAUUGGUCAUAGAUUGUAAAGUUGCAAUCUUUACGUUCUUUGGAUUGCCUAUGGCAUCAUACAGCAAAUGAAAGUAAGCUUUCAUGAACCAAAUUCUUUACCUUCUUAGCAGUCCCAGACAACUCACUGUAAAUCCUCUGGAACUCCUCCAACACUUCUUUCACAAUCCCCACCUUAUUUUUCCUAACCAGCAUCUUCACCAAACCCACCAAAUGCCUAUUGAAUCUCCCUUUCUCUGCCACCAAGUUCACUACUUGGCCCUUUUCUUUCUCACCCACAAAAGGGUUGGCCAAGGCAGCUUGGACUUGCUUAUUGUGGAGCAAUUUCAAGAACCUCUGAAUGUCCUUCUCAACCAAAUGAACAGAACUGUUGCAUUGAGCUAUGUCUAGCAGAGCAGCGGCAUACCCAGUUGCUGGUUUUCUAUGGAGAUCAGAGGAUGAUGAAGAAUUGAGAGAGAGGGUUGCAGAGGAGUUCAAGAAGGAGGGGGUUGAAGAUAAAGAGACAAGCUUGUGAGAGAAAGAGGGGGUUUUGUUGGAGAUUAAGUUGGGUUUGGUGGUGGAGUGAAGGUGGGAUUGUGGAGGAAGUUUGUGUGUUCUGGGACUUUGAGGAUUGAAUUGAUGGAGCUCACGAGAUGAUGUUGAUGAAAGAAGGGUAGGGACUUUGAGGGUUGAGACAGAGCUUGACAGGGUAUCCAUGGAGGAGAGAGGAAGAGGAUAAGUUUCAGGCUUUCAGGUCAGCCACUAAAUGUCAACAAAUGGAGAUGAACUGCCUUGAAAGCAAUUUCUCUGAAUUAUUAUUUGUGAUUCAAAUUGACUUGUACGUUGCAAGCUUGCAAGCUGCGGAGUAAAACUUUGGCAGUUGGUAAGCUGUGAGGGCCCACUCACAAAUAGGCCAUUAAGCAAUACCAUUAAACCCAGCCCAUUCCAGCCCAUAAAUCAAGUGGUACAUCGGUGCUCGCGGAACAGUUUUUCUUACAUGUAAUUUCAUAUUUGGGUAAACUUGUAAUAUUUUGCAAAAUGUGCUGGAAAAAUGGUGGAUGCUAAUUUAGCAUGGAGAGGAGAAAAGUAGGAAAAAUGCAGCUAAUCCCUUGAGUGGUAGAGAAAUUAUCCCAACAUAUAUAUUUUUUGACAUCAAAAGAUCGUUUGAGAAGUACGUACUCAAUUAUAGUUAAAAGUGAAGCACAUAAAUCUUAGUAUUAUACGUGAAUUUUUCUUGUUUUAGUCAAUCUGUGAAAAUGUGGAUCCAUUCUUCAAUCACUCAGUUUUCAAUCCGCUAUUUUCAUCGUGGAUUUUCCCAUAUCCUUGAUGGAUCAAUGCCAUACAAACAAGUUCCACAUUGUUAACUUGUAGGUAGGCCUUCCCAAACACAAUAUUAAAGCAAUGCUCAUGUAUGUAGCAAUAACUACAAGCAUUGGUUGGUGUCCCCUCUGUUGAAAAAAAAAAGGGUCUAAUUGCUAUUUUUAAUCACACAGAAAUUCAGAAAUAAUUAUUAAAUUCGAACUUAAAAAUUAAUGCAUACUUAUAUAAUAUGGAAAAAAAAAAUCACAUAAGAUGGAUUAGAAGAAUUUAAAUAAUUGAGUCGAGGCAAGUGUUGGACACUCUGACUUUAAAAUGAAUGACGCCCCACAUAGGUACUUAUGGUUACUGACGCUCGCCUCCUAGGAUACAACGACUCAUGUCCUUGUGAAAGAAUUACUACAAUUCAUAAGGACUCUUUGAACCAAAUUAUGUAGGAAACUCUCUCACAGACCAUAAUCAGUGACUAUACUAAGACUCUUCGUAUUCAAAUGGAUAAACAUUAACUGAAUCAAUUCAAUUUUUUAAUUGCAAGAAGACUACUCUAUUUAUAGAUACUAAAGAAUUCCAAAAGGGUAUGUCCCAACACCCUGCUCAAAACUUUAUAUCAGGGUCGUCCCUGAGAUUUUGAGAGUCCUGUGCGAAACUUAAAUUGGGGCCUCCUAUAAUCUAAUAUGAAAAUACUAUAAAUAAAAAUUUGCCAUAACUUAAUGUCAUAAACAAUUUUUUUAUAACUAAAAGUCACCAUCAAUAAACAUGUAAUGAUAAUCAGAAAUCAAAUUCAUAAAAAUUUAAAUAUUUCCAUUUGAUAAAGUUAAAUAUUAGUAUAUUUAGUACAAAAAUAAGCUCUGUGUGCCCCUAUAAAGUCCUUUGCUACCUCCAAUAAGCAAUAUGUGUUUAAUAGAGAAAAAAAAAUGGCAAUCACAAAUUAAAGAGUAGUUGCACACAAAUGUCAUUAACAAAUUAGAUUAUAUUGCAUUAAAAACAAAACCAACAACAAAAACAUUCCUGACUAUCCAAAAAUCAUUCACGUUGUAUUUGCUGUCUUUAUUUGAAGAAUUAAAACUAUUAUGAGAGCUUUUUCCCCAAAAGAAAAAAAACACAGCUAGUACAAUACUAAUGUCUGAAAAUUGAUCUUCUUGAAUUUUUAGAAGAGAAAUCAUCAAUCAAAUGUUCAUAAUAAAGUUUUUCUAAAAGUUCACUUUUAAUUGAAAUCAAAGAGAGAUUGAUGAAUGAUAAUGAUUACUUACCACAAAAUCAGAGUUUAAGAGAAAGAAUAAGCCAUGAAGUUUAUUUUUUUGUUUUAAAAGAAUGAUAGGGGAGGAGUAGAAAGACUUUGGGCACCUCUGUUAAGUGGAGACGCGCUGGAAAGCCAACUCCACUACAGACACUUUUGUGGAAAUAUUUAGCAUGCUAUAGUAUAUAUACAAUUCUUAUAAAUUAAUAUAUAUAUAUAUAUAUAUACACACAUAGAGCUUCCAUUUUGUUGGCAUAUAUAUAGUAUUAAAAAAAAAAUUAGGGGCCCUUAAGAAUCGAGGGCCCUAUGUGAUGGCGCCACUUAUACCACCCUAGGGUCACCCCUGCUUUAUAUUCCUCUAAGAAUUGCCCUUUAUCAUCACUCAUAUUUCUUACGAAUGUCACUGAAUCAAAUAUUUUGUCGGUGCAAACAUCACAAAGGUUGUAUUGUUCUGCAGGCAGAGAAAAGCAUAAAGAAGUUCCACAUGUUGGAAUUUCAGUGUUAUUAUGAAAGUACAUUGUUGUAAAGAUGUGAUGAGUUCAAGUCUUUUUGGUAGAAAGAGUUUCUUUUCGUGAUCAAAGGUAAGAGGUGGUUGGAUUAUUGAAGUAAAAUGUGGACAAACUCUACGAAAAUAUUCUCAAAUAAACUUAUUUGAAGAAUUUUUUAAAUGAAAUCUUGGCUCUAAAUUAUUUAGCAGAGACAGACCUUAACCAAAUAAAUUUAAAAAAAACAGCUGCCUGUGUACUUUUAUUAUGUAUAGCAUUGAUUUUAAGAGAAACGUACAAGUGCAUGUCUAGCUACCCAACUACCGCUUUGAGAACAUAAGAGGAAUAUACAUAAUGUAAAAUGUCAUAUCGGAUUUUAUGAUGAGAAAGUAUUUUUGAAGGGCUUCAAUUCAAAUGAGCUGGAUCAUGAACAAGACCAACCCAUUAAGCACUCAGACUGGCUUCAAAUGAGUGAGUUUAUUAUCAAAGACCAAUCCAUUUUUGCUUGUAUUGUAAUGAUGAAAUCAACUUUUAUGAAAACCCCAAUUGACUCAUUUGUAAGUAAAUAUGCUGCUUAAUUUAAUUGGAUUACUUUAAUUAGUAACUCCCAAACCCCAAUUUCAGAACCAUUAAACAAAACUUGUACAGCUUUUGACUGACAGAGUUAGCCCAAAUUAUGCACAGCACAAUAUACUUUAUGAUUUAAUAAUGCACUAUGCAUUUAAAAGAGAGAUAGAGAGAGAGAGAGGGACAGCCAUUGUUUUCAUUUCUAGCUCUCUCUCUCCUUCCACCUGUUAUUGACAACCCUGUCUUGUCUUCUCCUCUUUUUCUCAAUCUUUUUCCUGUUGUUUUACUUGCUCCCACUGACAUCCUAGACUAAAUAAAAGACCAAGUCUUCCAAGUCCAAUUUCAAAAGAAAAACAAAGAGAGAGAGAGAGAGAGAGAGAGAGAGAGAGAGAGCACUGUAUAUCAUCUUUUUGAUCAUUGAUUGUUAAGUUGUGCUGAGAAAAUGAACCAAGAAAUGAAUGGGGUUGACGCUGAUCAGGUUCAGAGGGUAGCUCAGGAGAUUAAUGGGCAAGAAAAGAUAGACUAUGUGUUCAAGGUGGUGGUUAUUGGAGACUCAGCAGUUGGGAAGACUCAGAUUCUGUCCAGGUUUACUAAGAAUGAGUUCUGCUUUGACUCCAAGUCCACAAUUGGGGUUGAGUUCCAGACUAGGACUGUCACCAUUAAAGGCAAACUCAUCAAAGCCCAGAUCUGGGAUACUGCUGGCCAAGAAAGGUUUUAUAAAUCUCUAGCUCUCUCUCAACUUUUUUUACUUGAAUUUGAAUGGUGAUUGAAGCUUAAGCACUAUUGUAUGUAAUGCAUGGAGAAUGUUGCUUCCCCAGACUAUCUGACAAUAUAAAAUGAUUGCGUUGUUAAUCUGUGAAUCCGAACUAUUUUAAUUUUAUUCAGAAUGUGUGGUUUAAAUUUACAAUCUGACAACAUAAUUAUUUGUGCUGCAGUGUAAGUAAGUAUGUGAAGAGAACAUUACUAUCUAAUCCAUAAUCCACAUUACUAUGGAAGCAGAUGUAACUGUUCAAGCACAUUAAUAUAAUACUUUUUGGUUUAAAACUUGUGCUCUGUGUAGGGUAUAUGAAACAUGAAUUAUGAAUAUAUGAUUAGAGGUUUUAAUACAGUGUAUAUGUGACAUAAUCAACAUUUGUUUCUGAUCAAAAUGUGCAAUAAAUAAAUUAAAAAGGGGCCUUCCCUAUUGGUGGAUUUGGGAUCUAGGUCUAGCUAGUGGCACUGUGCCAAAUGAAGAUAAGACCAGCUUCCCAGCUUUUGUGCUUUUGCUAUCAGUGUAGUUUUGCAACAUGACAAAAAUGAGUUCAUUAGUAAUUUAGUAUGAGCCCAUACGUACAGACAUACAGGCUGCUUCUUCUUUUUUCUUUCUACUUUUCUCUAGAUGACAGACAUGAAUGUGCACAGGGAUCUGUAUAAAUGGUAAACAACCUGAUUUUAUGCUGGUACUGUUGUUAUGUACUGAGCUCUCUCUCUCUCUCUCUCUGCAUAUCAUUAAUUUCAGCAACAACAUUAAAUGUACUGCACAAGUGCAUUCAAAACUUGCUGCUAUAGAACCAAUCUCAAAAUUAAAUCUGUGGGACAGAGUGUAGGUUGAUCCUAUUUAUUAGAUUUGGACAAGAAUUGAGAAAAUUUAAAGACAAAUAUACUUAAAGAAAAGCAUGUUUGUUGAUGGUCCUUGUAGGUAUAGAGCAGUAACAAGUGCAUACUAUAGAGGUGCAUUAGGGGCAAUGCUGGUGUAUGACAUUACCAAGAGGCAGACCUUUGAUCAUGUUGCUAGGUGGGUGGAGGAACUCCGGGCUCACGCUGACAAUUCGAUCGUGAUCAUGCUGGUUGGGAACAAAGCUGAUCUUGGGGAGCAGAGAGAUGUGCCCACAGAAGAUGCAGUUGAGUUUGCUGAGGAUCAAGGGCUGUUCUUCUCUGAGACAUCAGCCUUCAGUGGUGAGAAUGUGGACACUGCAUUCUUUAGUGUCCUAGAGAAGAUAUAUGGGGUGGUGUCUAAGAAGGCAUUGGAAUGUGGCAAUGGAAACAAAUCCAAUGGGGUUGCUCUUAAAGGAGCUAAAAUUGAUGUUAUUUCUGGGUCUGAGUUGGAAAUUAGUGAGAUGAAGAAAUUGUCUGCUUGCUCUUGUUGAUCUAAUUGUAUUAGGUGAGGGGGCCGGUGGUAUAAUUUUUCAACUUGUUUACUGCCACAUCAGGAUGAGCCAUUUAUGUUUUCUUUUCUUUCUUUUUUGAAUUUGUUUGAUUUUGGGUAACAAGUAAAAAAGAAGCUAAAGGCCUUGAAGGGAAAAAGUAAGUGUCAAAUUCUCAUUCCGAAAUGCGGAAUGUGGGGCAAGUAACUUAUCACUGGAGUUAUAAGUCUUCUCGAUUGUAAUAUGAUUGUAAUUAUCAUGAUUGGUUUUUGAAUUUAAUUUUUCUUUAUAUACACAAGCGAUAUUGAGAGAAGGGGACUCAAACACAAGAAGUCAAGUGCAUGAAUAAUUGUUCUUAAUCACUUAAGCUACAAGCUUCUUUCAUUUGAAUUUCAAUUAAGAGCUUAACAAUGAACACUUACUGCAUAUGGCAGAGAUACGUAUAGUAUACACAACAUGGCAUUUUGCAUAAUAUGCCAACAAAAGAUCCGUACGGUACUUGAUUGGUUGGGUCGGGCGACCCACCUCAAUACAAAAGAGAUGUUUUGUAGGUGAACUGUCAAAUGUGGACCUUGGCAUUCAGUGGCAGGGCCCGAACCAUUGGGCCUUCCUUUCUUUCUUGUCAAAAGCUGGGCCCUGGUCAAGUAACUCACUUUUUUUAGAAGGUUGGAGGAGCAAUGAAACGGUGCGUUUGAAGUGGCUCAAGGUGUGUAAAACGACAAGUCGUCCGUCUGUUUGAUGGAAAAUAAUAGAGUUGGACUGCAUUGCAUUAUUUGAGCGCAUUGCACGAAUGCUGAAUGGUAUUUUUCCAUGUUUGGGGUUUGCAUGGCAUUUACUUGAGAAAAUACAAACUCCAUAAGUUUGAGAUUUUGCCUUCCCAAAAGAAACGAAUAAAUAAAUAAACUUGUAAUAUGCAAUAUAUUUAACUGAAUCAUACAUGUCACUCAAGCAUUAAAUUUAUUUACUUAGUGGGAAGCGCUUUUCGCCAAAAUUUUCUCCGACCCAAGACUAUUAAGUGCCGCGUAAAGGGUGUCAAUCUACCUCACCUGAGCCUGUCAAGCAACAAAUUACCCACCAAAGAGGCUAAAACAACCUAAUUUACACAGCUUGAAAAUAAUAGUGCCCCAACAUCUUCUUUCUUUUUCGUUUCCUUUUGUCUUUUUGGGCAACAAAUUAGGGAUCUGUAUUCACCAAGGUAGUGUUGGUACAGAAAAAUCUACAAGCAUCACCCAAAAACAUCAUUUUCUAUCAAAUUUCCUUUCUUUCUCUUUCUCUCUUUUUGCUGGCAAAGUUGAAGAAGUUUGUUGAGCUAGCUCAUCUAUCAAUCUCCAAAACAGCAUCAAACACAAUCAUGAGUUAGGUUAUGGGUAGCAAACUCAAAAGUAGAACAACAUAUCAUAUAAAACAAGGUUAUAAAAUUGGAAGGAAAUCAUUUUCCUUUUGAAGUAUCUUGCAUAACAUUUAUGAUAUAACCCUUGCUUAGCUUAAGCACUCAUUAUAUCCCAACCACUUAAGCUUUAGCAAUAAUGAUGCAUUACCUUUUGGUGUAAAGUUUAACAUCAAGUUCAUGUAACUUAUUUAUUUACUUAUAAGCUUUAAUUGGUAUGACAUCUCACUAGAAAAUGUAUGUUUUCAUGAACUGAUGUGGCAUGAUUAUUUGUUAUCGUCGAUGAUUUAUGGCUAAAAGGCAAGGUAAUGUUUGGUUUAUUUGAAGCUAACAAUAAUUUUACAAUAUACUACCUUAAAAUUGUGCCCGUGAAUUAUAAGAAGUGUAUGAUAAUAUUUUUAGAAUGUGAAUUAUAUAUUCGAAUAAUUUUCACUUAGAGAAAUUAUCACACUUCUUUUAAAUACAAGUAUUAUUGAGGAAUAUGGGCUGGGGAUGGGUGCCCAGCGUGACAAAGAGAGAGGGAUUGGGGUUGGGAGGAAUUGAAGGAGGAGGAAGGCAUGGGUUGCGAUAAUGGAGGAAGGGGAGGGUUGUGGAUGAAUUUUCGAAUUUAUCUUUAUUUUUAACAGAAAAUUUAAUAGAAUUUGAUGGAACCAAUGACACAACACGAUACAUAAUUGGAGAACCUUUACAACUGUUUUUGAAAUUGAGAGAUAAAAAUAUAACUACAAAUAUAGUUUAGAGACUAUUGCUACGAUUAAGCCUAAAAAAAUUCCUUGAAUUGGUUGUUGUGGGACAUGUAUAGGGUGGCAAAAGGAGUAGGCUUGAUCAUGCUGUCUGGAGCAAUUUGGUCCACGUCCAUAUCAGGCAUAUCAUCGAGGCAUUGAACUUUUAAUUGAUGAGAUAAAAGAACCCAGCUGGCCUGUCUCAGAACAUACCUGAACUGAUACCCCUUAUAAUUGCAAUAUAUUUAUAUAUACAUAUUUUGCCAGAUUCAUGUCAUAUAAUGAUGAGGAGGUCGAAAAGUAAGUAAAAUCAACAUAAAAUGAAUUGGUUAAUUAUUUUGAUUUGGAAUGUAUAUACAUAAAUUUAAUAAAUAAAAAAUCAAUCACGAGACAACAUUUUGCAAAUAAAUUUUGUAUUGUUGGUGCAAAUUAUAGUCAGAUAUAUAUACAUAAAUGGAGAUGAUCGAGCUGCGAAGUUCAUUCAUGUAAAGUAUCGUAUUGCCAAAAAUUGUCUUUCUAAUUUGAUUAUAAAAAAAAGAAAGAUGAUGUCUUUCUAUUUUGCUUUUUCAUUUUUUUCGUGUGUUUGCUACGGCUAUCAUCCUAUUUAUUUUUGUAGGGUUAACAUCCUAUUUAUUUAUUUAUCAUAAUUUAGAAAGUUGCUUAAAUUGUUGGUCAAGGACGAUUUGGCCAACUUUCAUACAAGUUCAUAACAGGACUUUUGCUUUUGGAGGCAUCGCAUAAAUCAGCUUCUCAAGAAAAAGAAAAAAAAAAUCAUGGCUGGUAUGAAGCACAUUAAACUACAUAAAGAGAUGACUAAUAUUUUGUAAUAUAUAUAGUGUAUAUGUAGUAUGUUAGGUAAAUGGUAACGAUCGAUCACAAUUGGCACAUUCAUACAUAAUUUUAAAAGAAAAAUACUUACCUACUUUUCUAGAAGUAGGAACUCCUAUUUUCCUGUUAAUCACAGUUUGACAUGUAUGAAUUAUUUUUACAUAUGUGUCAAACUGUUAUUUGCAAGAAGUAGGAAUGCACUUGAGUGCAGUGUCCAUUUUAAAAUACAUCUAGCUUAAGAACAUAAUAUAUAAAAUAGUUCCACAAUAAUAGCAUACUUUCACACCUUUGUGUAUCUAAAAUGAAAUAGCAAAAUGAAAAUGACUUAUGUUGAUGUCCAAAAAUGAAACCAACUUCAAAGUGAUCCACCUUCAGUCAGUGGAUCUGCAAAGAGAGAUAGAGCAACGGUAAGGCUCUAGGCACCAAUGUGGUAUUAGCCGAAGGCUCUCCGAUACUUAAGUUAGCUGAAUGAUGGAGUGAAUAAAUAAUUGGAUAUAAUAAGAGUACUAGUGCCAAAUUACUGCUAUCUCGUGGUUUGGGGCAUGAGCUCAAUUUAUAGAGGACAGAGGUGGACCACUAUGGGUUAUAGUUUCGAUACGAGACUUCUGGACAUUGUCCGAGAGGCCGCUACAUGUCCUUGUGUGAAAGUAGCACGACAUGUGCCUUUGUUGAGCCGAAUCAAUGGGUGAAGUUGCCGAAGGCUAUCCCUUGCUGAUGGUCGCUGUGAGUUCUAGUGACUGAGCUGGGUCACGUGGGUCAUUUGUUUUAGGUGUUAUAGUUGAGAGGGUCCGAUCAGAUAUGGUACAAACAACUUAACAAUAAGCAUUUGACAGACACAAUUUUCCCAAUAAAUUUACAAUCCCCAUUUUAUAUAAAAGAAGAAGAAGAAAAAAAAACUUGAAUCUCCCACAACCACUUCUCAAUGAUUUGGAGAAUCAUUUUGAGAAUUGACUAGCAAACGAGUAUUAACUUACCAUUAUUCGAGGAAACAAAUGAAGACGAUGAACCAGUUGUCCAUGCUUAAUUGCUGUCCAUUUCCUUUUCUUAUUAUUGUCAUAUAAAUAAAUAUCAUAUGUUAAUUCUGAUUUCAAUUAUUUUGCUUUCAAAAUUUUGGCUGAUUCUGCGAUUUAAAGACAAAAAUGACUUGAAAAGGAAGCAGGAUCAUAUACCAUCAUGACCAAUGAUGAGAGCAGAAAAAAACAACCUUUAAAAUUAGCAACAAAGAAAAAGGAAUAUCAUUUUGCACAAAAUAGUCAAAUGCAGUGACAUCACCAAGACAUUGUUUGUUCGGUCACUUGCAGUAGCUUAAUCUAUUUUUCUUUGAUUCUUCUGUAUUGUAUUACUAAUUUGUAAAUAUUAGAGUAAUUGCUAUUUGUCAUAUAAGAAUUAAGGUUAAAAAUAAACAGAGCGUCCAUUUGUGAAUGCAUUGACUUUGUUAAGCAUAAUUUGAUUGCUGAUUUUUUGGUGUUACACAUUACUAAUUUUGCAUCUUGGUUGGUGUAUGCUUGUAUGGUAAUAAAACUUCUUUAGAUGAGACUCCAAUUUGGCCUUUUGUUGUUUGAAACUCGACAUGAUAGGACUAAACUAACCGUAAUGUCUGGUAUACAAUGAAUUUAACAAUCGUACAACGUGGAUUUGUAACUCAAGUAAGUGGUUAAGAAGAGUUAUUCCUAUCCUUGAAUUCUAUUUCCCUUUCUGUAAUUCAUGAAUAGCUAAUUUUUUUAAGGAAAUUAAAACAAUGUCAUUUACAUGUUCAGUGUAUCAACAAAAGGCAGUGCAUUCCAACAAAGGGAAGAAGAAGAGGAGAAAGACAGAAUCACAUUCCCAAUUGUGUCAAUUAAUCUAUCCACAAAAGCAUCCAAUCCCAACUAACAAAUAUCCAAAUAUCAAACAAAUAUCAAAACAAAUUGUUGGUUUUUGGUUCUAAUUAAAUUAAGCUGUAUUCUGCUGCAUUUCCCCCUAUAUUGAUUCUCUGUUCUUCCAGAGACCCAAGGGCAAUGUCCCCCCAAUUACAACUCGACACGUUGCAUCGAACAUGCCCCUUCAAAACAUAGCCAUUUCUGAGCCGUCCGAUCAGCCAUCCCUGUUCGCCGAGCCAGCAUCGAACGACUGAGAAUGAGAGCUCCUGUUGCUCUUCAUCCUCAAGAACCCAUACAACUUCCUAAAGUCCCUAACGGUAUGAGCGCCUUCCCCGCAAAACACCCCGCCGGGUUCAACCAUUUCGUCCGCGGACUUUCUCGAUCCGACAUCAAACCCCACCCGCCGCCCGAACAUGCCGAUCCCCCUCCCAUCGCCGUCCGUUUGCAGAGCCGUGAUGACCGAUUUAAUGGCCCGACUCGGCGAGUUCCGGUUCGCGAUCAUCAACUCGCCGAUCUCGGCCGGGCUCAAACUUGACCCAUUCAGAAAAAUCUCCUCCACCUGAGAAAAAAGCUUGUGCUCUUUCACCCCCAAAUAACUCGUCGCUAGAUUUUUGAAGGCUCCGAAAUCGCAGAGCGGAAAAUGGAUAUGGACGUCGAUCCGACCCGGCCGCAGAAAGGCCGGGUCAACGUGGUCCUUCGAGUUCAUCGUGAACACCAUGACCCGCUCCUCCGCGCAGCACGAGUUCAACAACCCGUCCAUGAAAUUCGAUAUCCCCGAAAAGCUCAAACCCGUCGAUUUCUCGGCGAGAUAUCGGUCCAAAUCCUCUAUCACAAUUACCGACUUGGUCGUCGUCUGCAACAGAAGCGUCUUCAGCUCUGAAUCGUCUUUGACUCUCGACAGAUCGAGAUCGUACACAUCGUAGUUGAGGAAAUUGGCCAUGGCGGCCACAAAGCUUGAUUUUCCAGUGCCCGAUGGCCCGUAUAGCAAAAAGCUCCGUUUCCAAACCCGACCCAGUCUGUGGUAAUAUUGCCUGGCCUUGAGAAACGACUCCAAAUCGGAUUUUACCUUGGAUUUGAGAUCGGCUUCCAUGGUUAUGGUCUCCAAGGUGGAUGGGUGCGUGAACGGGACGGCUCUCCAUGCUCGAUUGGGAGCAUCAACGUUCAUGAAAAGCCUCAAGUCUCGUUUUUUCUGCUCCAGCUCAUCAGCGACGACAUGGAUGUGCUGCAAAUAAGGCCUGAGAAUCCGACGCUUAUCGGCUUUUCGAAUCUUCAACACUAAGCUUCUGCUCGUACUGUCUGUGCUGGCCCCUGUUUCCCAUAGCACCUUGGCGCCGAGGAAGUCGUCUUCGAUGGUCUGGUUUCGGUCGAGCUUGAGUACAAUUUCAUUGGGUUUUUUGCCCGUGACGAGAUUGGUGAAAUCCGAUUCUUCAAUGGAGGUGAGAGAGUUGAGAUAGUCGGUGACUCUGCCAUAGAGGUGAUUUUCCUGCAUGCUUUCGUUGAAUUCUGGGACUUUGAAAGAUUGGUAGACAUGGAAGCAGUCUUCGAAUCGCCUCCACCAUUUCUUCACAAGAAAAACCAACCCAGUUUUGUACAGAGCCACACGGAUUGCUACAAAUAUACAGACGGUUACAAUUACAAGAAAGAAUGGGUUGGAAAGAAUCAUUCUUUUUCUUCUUUUGAAAUUUUGGGGCAAAAACCCAGUUCCCAAAACCAAAAGGUUGGGAAAUUUGGUGAUCUAUAGCAGAGCUUUUUGUGGUGAAAAGGGAAUUUUCAUAAGUCUUUUCCUUCUUUUUGAAGGGAAAAUCAUGGUGGGUACAGAGAGAGUUACGAAUACACUUGGGUUCGGAAGAAGAAGAUGAGUAAAUGGAAAUAUGGAGAAAAAAAAAAGGAAAAAAAAGGGAAAUUUAUAUACAGAUGAGAGAAGAUGAGGAAUGUUAAAUGGGGAAGGGAUUGAAAUUUGAAGGUAGAGUAUUUAAUUGGAAGACGGCUACUUGCCGGCAGGUUUCGAUGGGUCAAAGGCGGAGAGAGAGAGAGAGAGAGAGAGAGAGAGAGAGAGAGAGAGAGCAAGCAAAUUAAGCGAAAGUAAAGGCUAAAGCUGUGUUUGGAUUGAAAAUAUUAAUAUAAAUAAGAUUAAUGAGAGAUUUCAAAUUGUCCUUCAUUUGCUAGCUGCUGUCCAGCCCAUUGAUGAUGUGUUUUAUGGGCCUUUCUUUAUUAGAUUAAAUGCAAGACUUUUUUCUUUUAAUUUUGAAUCUCUCUAAUAAUUAUAAUAUUUCUUUACCAUAUAGUACCAAUAAUCCAAUCAUAUUCUCAGCAUAUAUGGUAUAAUUAUUUUUCUCAACUCACAGAUUUAUGAAGUUUCCAACUCAGAGUGUGUGGAAAAUCAUAUUCUGAUUCGGUUUUGUAAUAAUAAUUGUUGGUCUACCAAAUGGGCAAUUUAAAUUUGAUUUUUGAUGCUAAUCCCCACAAAAGAAAAUUGAUUCGAAUUAUUAGGUUUUUUUGUUUUUUUUUUGGCUUUGUAUAUUCUCUCACAUCUUUAUCUUCUUUUUUUUUAUCUCCCAUGUUCAUCUUUACUUUAAAAAGAGCGAAUUAUUGCUACUUAACAAAGUGUGAGGCCUACUAAACAUUAAAAUAAAAACUCGAUUUCAUUUUAUGGUAAAAUUACAUGAAAGGAUAAACUUCAAAUUAGGACUACCAGCUAAUCUAACUAGGAUCAUAUGACCGUACUACCAUAUUACAUUAUAAUUACUCUUAAUCUAAUAGUAUUCUUCUUCAACCAAAGAUGCCAAGAUAAUGAAGCACUAAUAUGCCAGCGGUAAUGGCCGUCACAGUUCAAAAUGAACAAAAAGAAAUAAAAAAUUUAAUAGCACAUAAUAGGUGAAUACGGUGAAUAAAUGGGGGAGUAGGGUUAUCGCUACUCUCUAAAAAUUGAAAAAUAUAAAUAAAUACAAAACCGCUUUAUUUGAACAAAAUUCAUUCAAGUUUUAGCUACACGUAUCCUACUAGUAUAUGUAUUCGUAUAUUCUUUCCUUGUUCUCAUAUCAACUACCCACCUCUCCAUUUUUGUUUCUUUUGGGCUUAUACAUACCGACCCCUUCCAUGAAAUCAUCAUUGAUCCAAGUGUCCCUAGCUAGCUGGUUGAAGAUAUCACCAACCUCUAUGAUCUAUGGAGCUUCUUAUGUCAUUUAUGAGAUCCGAAUUCAAGUGAACAGUCCCGAUUUCUUGGACCACAAGAGUUCAAGUGAUUGUGGUCACCCACCGUUGGAUAUUAAUCUAAUGGUUCAAAAAAGUUUUCUAAAAUGAGUGCAAGAGUGAGUGAACCGUUGAAUUUACAUCCAACGGUGAGUGACCACAAAUAUCUUGGACCCCUGUAGUCCAAGAGAUCAGGACUGUUCAAGUGAAUAUGUUAUGACGUUUUACUUGUAGCUGUGACAUACCAAGAAACAACAACCAAUACUCGUUUGCCCUAGUUUUUUCUCCAUAUGGAAGGAGACCGACCAAGGUUAGCUAAAGUUUUGUCAAUUUUAUGGCCGAAUAUUCAACGCUAAAUUCAAACAUUUUUGAAAUUCUUAUGUGUACGCAGUCUUUUUUCUUUUGGUCAAUACGUUUACAUAGCCUAAGUGUGACAGAUACAAACAAAAAUGAAGGCGGAAAAAGCCUCCUUUUUCUUUUGUUUCCUUUUAGAAUUCUACACUACUCAUUCAUCAACUUUCAAAGUUGAACUAGCGUCAGCACUACACUUUGAAGGGUUCAAAAGGCCAAUUUAUCCCAACUUGUGUAUGGUGUCAUUUAUCAUCAACUUUUCCUUUUGAUUUUGGCGGAUUUUAGAUGACCAAAAGGUUUUCCAUAUGAAUUUUGUUUUUUUGGAUUAAUCAACACGAGAUUAUUCUUUGAUUCCUUGUAGAAUAUUUUGGCCCCGAAAUGACCGAAAGCCGGUGCAACUUUGUAAGGCCAGUGAAAAGUUGAUUAAGAUCGAAGAUUAUUAUAGAAGCUUUUGGCAUGACGCUGUUGAUAGAGAGCUCCACGUUGAACUUUUUACGUGUGGAAAGUUCAUAAAAUAAAAUGAAUAUUUUAGAAACUGGAUUAAAUAGUUGAUUGAGUUUGACUAGUUCACUUUUUUCUUUCUUUUUUUUGUUUGUCAAAACACUAGGUCAUGUUAAUUACCACUGAUAAUUUAAUUUGCACAUCAACUUGUUACUAAUUGAGCCGAGUCUUAUAACUACGUCAUGUAACAAUACUUUUCGUCCGUAUACUCACCACAAAAAUUCGACUCUUACUAUUUUUUUCAUAUCUUAAUAAAAAGUAACACAAAUUCUGUGGCAUAUGAUUAACGAAAUAUAUUAUUUACAAUGGUAUGAUUAAAUAAUUAAACAAAAACUCUUUAUUUAAGGCUUAAUUUUUAUCUUAUUAGACGCGGCUUAAACACGGGUUUGGGUGGAGCAGAUAUUGUCUGGCUCACUUGAGAGAGACUUUGAAUAUCCAUGAGAAGAUAAAAACAAGGCACUGGCACUUUAUGCAAAAAUUGCAAACUCCUUUCUGCCUACGCCAUUUGGUUUUGAAUGUUAUUUUAUGUUCAUAGCCCCAUUAAUAUUGUCAGCUUCCUAUUAACUUUAAACACUUUUGUUUAGCCUUAAUUUUCAACCCUACGAUUCCCCUACUUUAGUUGUCGGUUAUUGGACUUCUUUCUUGUAAAUGUUGGUGCUCAUACAGACAGCAUUAGUAUGCGUGACGACUAAGUCACCUUCACAUAUAUAACUUCCUAAUUAAAAUAAAUCUUGUAUACCAAUUCUUUUGAAGAGUGCUCGGGACAGUCACGGACAUUGCCCGUUCGUACUCAUUUGUGCAUGGGCGACUUUCGUAGCAUAUUUCACCCUUUGUUAAGAAAAACCCAGUUGGUUGUGUUGACUAGGGUAGCCACUAACUAGUUGUUGUGAUUUAGUCUUGUGUGUUAGGUUGAAUAUGGACUUUUAAAGCGUCUUGCAUAUGCAUUAUGGGACUAAUUCAAGUUAAUAAUUAUUAAUUAAGUCGAUAACUAGUUAGUUAAACACACACUCCAUGAAAAAAUAAGUCAUUUUAAACUUGACAUCGUUUUGUGUUGAAAAGGGAAUUUGAGGUGGGAUAAGGGAGAGUUGUCACAUUUGCAGUGGUUGUGGCUGUAGAUGAUCACCAAAAACUAUCUACCAAUUAGAAUUUUUAGGUAUAAAACAAAAAGAAGCAAAAUCAAUAAGACAAUGAUUCUGUUUGUAAUUAGGUUGUACCUACAACGUGUAUGUAUUUUGGAACACACAAUUUGAUGGGUUAAGGUUUCGUGUAUGUAUUUUGUGGCAGUCGUGUUGCAGGGUUUCAACAUCUUUUUUCGUGAAACUCCAUAAACAGUUGAGAAGAUAUUAUUGACAGCCAUCUGUUUCUUCUUGAAUGAAAAUUCCAUUUUGUAUUCGUCUGAAAUUUUUUAUUUUCUGACCUUCUCGAUUAUGCGCGGUCCUAAAUCAAUUUGGAAACAUUUUUUUAUUUUUCUGGCAAUGUUUAUUUGGGUCAAUAGAUUUUCUUGGCGAAUGUAGCUUAGAAUUGGAAAAUGAGAUGGGACUUUGCCCGAGCCAUUCGAUCCAUCGAGGUGGCCGGGCUGGCCCAGUUCAGCUUGCUAAGUCUCAUUUGGUCCAGAUUCUGUCCAUGGACGACAUAAUUCCAAACGUGUGAGUAGACAUUGGGUCGGACCAAAUAUAACACAAGUAAGAGCCUUUUUAUUUAUUUAUUUAUUUUUUUAUAAAUAUCAUUUUAAUUUUUUUAAAAUAUAAGUGAUAGUAUAAACUACAUGAGAUGGGGGCUUCUCACAUACAGUGCUAAAGUGCAAUUUUUUAAAACAUAAUGAGCUAAAAAUUUGAUAUUGCUUGAUAUAGAUUUGAGAUUGGAUCAUAAAGCUAAAGACUACCAUGUAUCUUCAAUUUUUAUUUGCCCCUUCAAAUGACCCAAUGUCCUAAUUUCGAAUUAAGGGUGUUCUCCAUUUGGUUAAAUUAACCAUGAUUUAAACUAAUGUUAUAAAAAAUAAAAAUAAAAAUAAAAAGGCUAGUCGAUGGAUAGAGAAAGGGGAAUUAUAAUAAACUACUAAAUGGUGUCUUAGAGGUUGAAACCUCCCCACCACCUUACUAUUGUGGUAAAGACCCAUUGGCUUGGUUAAAUUACUUUUGUUUGGUGAAUAUUUCGUAACAUGACAUAAAUUGGAGACUUAAAAAUUAGAUUGUUUGCAUCACUAAACUACUGACCUUACCAAGUGUUAUGGGACAAUAGAACUUGAGAGUUAAUAAAGCCAAGAACACAUCCCAAUUCAAUUCUUUUUUCCUACGGCUAUAUCACGAGCAAGUUUGGCUACUGAUUUUGAUCUUGGCUUUCUUUUUUUUGGGUCAAAAGUAGGAAGACUCGGCCAAGUUUGGCUAUUGAUUUAGUUCUUUAGAUUUUCUUUUACGGCACAGAAAAAAUUACACAAAUAUUAAAGUAAGUUGCAAACAAACAUAACAACAAUUACAUUUAAGCAAGUGCACAUGCUUAACAAUAGAGGGGGAAAAAAAUCAUUACAUCAGUCACUAAAUAAUAGAACCGCAACACAUUGGAGCAUCAAUAAAUUUUCUUACAAAAGAAAAGUUGGUACAUCUACCCAAUAUGGAGGUUGCAUGGUCUUCUCCAUAAAAGCGUUAGCAUAUGAGGUGUAAGGUUGUGAAAAGCUUUGACGUUCAAUGUCAUAAACACCAAAAUCACGACGCAAAGGCUUUUUGUCAUAACCUCUUUCUAUACGUUCAUAAUCAUGGUUGAAGUAUAUGCAAUUUAAUCGACAUCCUGAAAAAUUCGAAGCUACUACAAAUAUUGAAAAAUUAUCACUCAAAAAGAGAGCAACAUCUCCUAAGGUGUUUUUCUCAACCCACUCAUACUUGUCGUCGAAAUUCAAUUCGAGUAGUUCAACUUUUGUCGUCACACGACAUCUAUCUUUAAAUGUAAUAUACCUUAGAACCAUCAAUUAUUCUUUAUCAUUUGAAACCACGAGAUAUGUCUUUUGCACCUCAUCAGAUUCAAUGCCUUGUGCAACCAAUUGUUUAUUGGAGAUACACUGACUAGUAAUAUCAAAUUCAACAACAUAAAACUUAUCUUCAACAUGAACAACAUCUUGAAUAAAGGACAAGCUUUCAUCAACGUAAGUCCAUGUUGUGUCUUUAUUGAGUUUGAUGAAAGCCAAUUUACCCCGUCCCUCAUAUGUGGCAAGAACAAUGCAAUUGUUGGGAUUUAAUAUUUGAUCCGCUGAUAUUGUAGCCUUGAUGACAAAUGCGGCAAUCACUUGUUCAUGCAAAAAAUUACCAUAAUUACGGUCUAGUGGAGGAAGAUUGAUGAUGGAAUCUUCUCUCUUUUUCUUCCCCUUAACCCUAUAAAAUGGAUUUAUUAGAGUUACUACCAAAUUCAUGUUCAUAGCUAUUAACCAUCCUUUUGCAAAACCACAAAAUCGCUUCUUUGGCAAUUUGAAUUGCACAUUAAGGACAUUGUCAGUCAUGAGAUUGUAUAAAUUCCAUGUAGCUUUCUUGGCACUUUGAAUCAAGAGCAUUGGAGGAUGAGAACAAUCUGAGAAGAUGAAAAAAUAAAUAAAUUAGAGAGAUCAUAGUUAUGUAAAAACAUAUAUAAAUUACAGAUACAAUAUUAAUAAACAGUUUUUAUGUACGAAACAAACCCAAAAAAAAAAGUAUUGAAUGCAUACUUUCAAACGCCAAAAAAAAAAAAAAAAACCCUUUAUCUCUAUUCAUGUCAUGCAGAAUUAAAUAUACAUUUAAGUAAAUAAUAGUAUGAGAUCUGGAGAUAACUGCCGGAAAUGCUCUUACUUCGUAUGCACGGUUUUGAUAUAGCUAUUAUGUACUUAUCUUACCAUUAGAAGUUUUCCUUCUUUUUUCCGAAUAUUCAUGAUGUUUCUGUGGGUCAAUAGAUUUUCUUGGUUUCCAAGCACGACAAAAAAAAUACUACUUUGUCUGAGGCAUUUAACCCAUCAAGAUGGCCGGGCUUGCCCAGUUCAGCUUGCUAAAUCUCAUUGGGCCUAUAUUUUCUGUACUUGGACCACAUGAUUUCCAAACCCGUGAAUAGAAAUUGGGUCGGAGACCCAAGGGACAUUUUCAGCAUUAUAUGCUAAACUUUUGAUAUUGCUAAUUGCUAAAUGAAUUUUAAAAUUAAUUGAGUAUGUCUAAAUUAUUUAUUGAAUUAUUAAUUUAUUUUAAUAUAAAAUGAUUAAAAAUAGUAUAUUAAAUUAUCUACCCCAAUAUAUACACAUUCCUUAUGACUUUACACAUGUUCAUUAUUAUAACUAUGGUCAACUUUUUAAUUUUAAUCUUUUAAAGUAUUUAAAACCAAAAAAUAAAAUAAAAUUUUACAAAGAGAAUAAAAUUUUAAGCUUUUGAAUCCAUGCCUUCAAACAAAUUGACUUAAUUUUCAACAAACAACACGGAAUCCAGGAGAAGUGUAUUGAUCCAAGUUGAUUUUUGUAUGCUUAAAACUUAAACAAUCAAUAACACAAACCAGGUGGUGGUGGUUGCAGAGGGAGAUAUUAUAAAAAUUAAAAGAAAGAAGAAGAAGAAGGAGAGAGAGUUGUUAAAAUAUUAUUUUAAAUCCUUUAAAAGAUUAAAAAUUAAAGAGGGUGUACUAUAAGUAUUUUUGGCAGUUAAAUAUGGUGUAUUUAGUUAAUUUUAUAUUUUGAUUUAAACAUUAGGGUGUACUUAGAUCGUAAGGUAUAGUCAAUUAAUUUUAGAGUUCGUUUAGCAGCACUCUAAAACUAUGUAUCUUCAAUUUCUAUGUAUAUAUUUUUUAAUUUUUAAACAAUUCAUAGUCUAAAUUACGUAGGGCUAGUUUGGCAUUACUGUGUUGUAAAAAUAAUCGUUGUCAGAUUUGCUGUAAGAGAAAUCAAUUGUAAAAAAAAGCAAUUUGGCAUUUGGUAAACUUUUUGUUAAAAGUGUUGUUGAUAUUGAUUCUCGCAUAAUCAGAAAAUGAAAGCACUUCAUUAGCUGUUUUUCUUAUAGUUUUCUUUCACAACAAUUUUUAACAAUAAGUGAUUUUCUCAUAGUUUACCAAACGGGCUGGGUUUCUAAUUUUUUUUAAAAAUCAUUUAUCACUCUAAAUAAGUAAUACCAAAUGGGUACUCAAUCUAAUUUACGGAAAUGAAAACUCGAAUUUGAGUUUACAGGCUAAUUAAUCUAACAUAUGUAUGUUGAGAAACUGUUAUUAUGCAUAAAUAUUCUUUAGCUGAGAAAUUUUUCUAACAAUUCACACAUCUAAUUGUUUUGAAAUAGACAAACAAAUACUAUUGGUGUUCUCCAUUUGGUUAAAAUAAUCAUGAUUUUAAAAAACGGUUAAAUGACUUUAGAUUUAUCAAUGUUUUGUAACAUGACAUAAUUUGAAGACUUAAAAAUUAGAUUGUUUAGAUCAUUAAACUACAAUGUAUAAUAGAUGUGGAUUUUAACUCAUAUUGGGAAAUUCAAAGUUUAUUUUCAAUUUUUUUGUUUAAGCAAUAAUUUAAAUUGAGGAAAGAUAAUUUCUCACAUUCACACACAAUCAAUGUGUUCUUACGAUUUGAACUGAAAACCACUAAUAUGAGUGUCAAUACUUUUUUUUACUAAAUUACCCGUUAGCAAAUUCAAAGUUUAUUUUAUUUAGAAGACGAAAUAAAUACGAGAGUAAACUCUAACCUGAGAGUAAAAAAUAAAAACCGACAACAGAACUUGAGAGUUAAUGAAGCCAAGAACACAUCCCAGUUCAAUUUUUAAUCCUGAGGCUGUGGAUCAGCCUCGUUCCUUCCGUAACAGUGAAAGAUUAUAUGCCAACAUCAACAAACCACAGCAAACCAAAUGGACACAAAUCUCAUCUUUCAAUCUCCCUUUCCUUAUCUUUUCCCUCUACACUUAGAAAUCUGCUGUCUCCCUCUCUACCCCGCGAACAGAGGAAGAGAGCAUGUCAGCCACACUCAGCCUCCUCAAACUCCCUAUUCUUCCCCCAAAACCCAAGCAAUGUCUCUCAAAACUUCAACAUUCUUCGAUCCCAAAAAAACCCAGUAUUGCCAAGGACUCAGCUAGUCCUCAAAAGCUCAUCACAACUACUAUUCACCACCUGAAGUCAACUUCUCUCCCACUCACAGCUGCCACAUUGCCAUUUUUACUGGACACCAAGGCAAGUACAAAUUUAGUAAUUCAUUUCACUCUCAUUUUCUAGUUUCUGCAUGCAUUUCAAAAUCAGAACUUUACCCAUGUUCAUAUGUUCUUCUUCCAUUUCAAAUUUGGGUUUUUUAUUUUUUUAUUUUUUCAAUUUGUGGGUGUGGAUUAGGAUGCACUUGCUGUUGGUGGGGAGUUUGGAAUAUUGGAGGGAAGGACAUUUGCUUUGAUACACCCCAUUGCGAUGGGUGGUCUGUUUGUAUUCACAUUGUGGACAGGGUACUUGGGUUGGCAAUGGAGGAGAGUCAGGACAAUCCAGAAUGAAAUUAAUGAGCUCAAGAAGCAAGUUAAGCCUACCCCAGUUACACCAGAGGGGACACCAGUUGAAGAACCACCAUCUCCUUUUGCACUCAAAAUUCAGCAGCUCAGUGAGGUAGGCAUUUGACGGUCAGGAUUAUUUUAUGCUGAAUGCAAUGUAUAACAAUUGAAUGCAUGCUUAAUGCCAAGUAUGCAUUUUUAUUUCCAUGGAAUUAACUUACUUCUGGUGGGUUGAGAAACAAUGCACUUCAUGUUUUGGUCUUGUAUAUAUAAACCCUUCAUAGGAUGAAUUUGAUGUGCUAAAUUUGAAAAAAAUAGAUGGAAGGGUUGGCCAAAGUAACUAUAGUAUCAUUGUAAAUUAGUUUCAUUUAUGUAUUUGACAUUAAAUUUUGUGCAAUGUUUUUUCUGCUGUUAAGCAAAAAUUGGCAUUUCUGCAUAAACUAGUGUUUUAUCUCUUGAAUGUUUACUUCAUGAGAAUGUAUGAUGUGUUGGCAUUUCCUUAUCAGGAAAGGAAGGAGUUGGUGAAGGGGUCUUACCGGGAUAGACACUUCAAUGCCGGUUCAAUAUUGUUGGCUUUCGGAGUUUUCGAGUCCAUUGGUGGAGGAGUGAACACAUGGUUUAGGACAGGAAAGCUAUUUCCAGGUCCCCAUUUGUUUGCAGGAGCAGGUAAAAUUUGGAUAUCUGUUAGGAAAAUCAAAAUAAAAUAACAUAAAAGAAAUCAUUUGCCAAAUCUGAGUAGUAAAAGCUUAAUUGAACUGAGUUGGUUUUUCUUCUUGUCAACAGCUAUCACGGUGCUAUGGGCAGCGGCGGCGGCUCUUACACCUGCAAUGCAAAAAGGUAGUGAGACAGCCAGAAACCUACAUAUUACGUUGAAUGUGAUAAAUGUUCUGCUUUUCGUGUCGCAAAUACCUACUGGAUGGGAGAUAGUUUUGAAAGUGUUUGAAUUCACUAAAUGGCCUUGAAAUAAAAGAUUUCCAAAGGGUGAGUUCAUCAGUUCAGCUACCAUCUAUAAUUUCAAACUUAUGUUCUUUCCCCCUUUUCCCCUGCUAAUUUUCAUAGCCUUGUACCACAAAAAAUCUUCAGUAGGGUGCUAAGAGUUACUUUUAAGCAUUGGAUGCUGUUGUCUAUUCCAGUUAGAAUGUUUUGUAUAAAAAUAAAAAGCAUUUCACUCUAUGCUGUACAGUGCCACAACAUACAUAAUAAGAUAUAUUUCCUUUCCCCAGGUAUAGUAGCAAUUUAUGUUUGACAGCAGAGUCUUUAUCGAUAACCAUAAUGACAUUUUUCUUCUUUUCCUACUAUUACCCUUAUGUUCAACCCGUAUGCUAAAUCAACAACAAUCAAAUAAAGGUGCAGUUUCCCCUGAUACUGCAUCAUUGGGCAAGGCUUAAAUUCUGAUCUUUGUAUUGCAACUGCUUACCUUGUUUCCCUUCUCCAGAGAAACUGCGGAACCAAUGACUUUUUCUGUAUUGAUGUUCACACCUCACUGCAUUGCAUCCGUCCGGACACGCGUCUUGUUUUAGUUGAAUCACAUAAGAAAAUAUCAAUGUACGCCAAUCCAAACAAGAGUCACAAAUACUUAGUACAGUUGAAUCUGCUCAUCUAAUGAGUGCACUAUCAUUUUCAUGUCAUAACCAAGAGCAUAGACAUAGACACAUGCUUUGAAAGUCUACUCAUUUUCACUUUGGUUGCUUUAAGUUAUCUUUUUCAAUUUCAAAUGCUCUUUCUUAGCCUUACUGUCAGUUCGUAUAACAUGACAGUGGUACAUAAAUUUUAUAAAUGAAAGUUUAUCAACUCGCAAUGCAAGAACAACUAGCUAGAGAGAUGGAUGAUGAGAUCUGAACUACGACGUUUCUUCAAGCAGGGUUGCAGGAUACACAAAUGAGAAGGCUAAAGGUAUGUGUUCUCGGAGGUAUAACGUAUAAGGGUAUUCCUAGCAUGCAGAUGCAGUUUGCUUUCCUUCAGAUCAAAGACAAGGAUAUUAGGUUUCAUUCCGGAAUAAUGUAGUAUGGGAGAAGUUCGGAAAGAAUGUCACUUUAAAAGUCUCUAAUAACUUUAAAAGUCCUCAGAAAUUACUUAUCCUGCAGCUGCCCAUAUUGAAGGCUUUAGAAUGCCAAAAUAUGAUCAAAUUUUAGCCACCAUCUCUAUGAAAGCCUGGUGCAUUGUGACUGUCUCAUAGGAGUAUUUCUCAUGUUAUCAAAGGGUCCCGCCAAGUUUGAAAAAAAUUGUCUGCCAAAGUACCAUUAAAUUAAUGAUGAACAAAAUCUCAGCCUUCCUCCUUAAACCGUUAAAAAGAAAAGGGAAAGAAAAAGGCAGAUAUUCUAAGGACCCCCAUCUCAACUUUUCUUUUUUGAUUUUGUUUCCUGCCUUCUUUUUCAAUAGUGGCUUAUGGGUCUCUUGGGAAUCAGCCAUCAGCACAUUGUUUUUUUGCUUUUCAAGCAAAUAGAAGAAGUCUGUGUCGUUCUUCAUCUGUCCCCCAUACUCCACAGUUGGUAUAAUUGAGAAAAAUAAGAUGCCCUUACGUUUUGGUUCUAGGAAAUCAUCCAAAAAUGACCAUCCGUACGUUGAUGGAAGGCCCUUGAUGAACUCAGAAGAACAAAGUAAGAAUCUCAGAGUGACAUGAAAGGGGAAAAGUGAAAGCAGCAGUAGCAGCAGCAGCUAGCGUAUCACAAGCAAAGUCAAGAGGAAGACGCAGACAGACAUUAAUUAGUGGGAUUGAAAACCUUAGAAGAUUUGAAGAAUCCCAUUACAGUGACUAGUAAUUAGUUUACAUGUAGUUAGUUUUGUGAUCCUUAAAGCAUGAGGACGCAUAUGCUUUCUCUAUUGGUAUUGCUAGCCAGCCCAUUUAACCUUGUAAACAACUCUGAUGGGCACUGUGAAAUGUUCCAAGAGAACCCGCCAUUUGCACACUCGACAAACUGCAUCUAAGAAAAUUAUUGAAAUGACAGGUGAACGUGACAUCAAGAGCUUAGAUGUUUAGAUGUUAAGAGGAAAGCUGAGGAUGACGCGCCGGCGACUGUCUGUAGUGAAACCCUUGUUAUACAAAUUAGGAAGCUACUUCAUAAAUGCUAAUGAUAUAUGCACUCUCCUAGAGUAGUUCACGAGCCAUUUGGGAAAUAAAAAAAUUUGAAUGUUGAACAUCAUAAUUCCAAAUUUACAGACUGCUAUAGAAAUGGUAUCCUUGCAAGAGUUAAAGUACUCAAUUUUUAUAGUGGGUUGAAAAAUAAUGAUUCACUACAAAGAGGGAUGCUAUUCUUCCCAAUUAGCCGUCCAAUAUUUUUCAAAUAUUGUAAACGAUUGGUGCUCUAAAAAGUGAAAGUUACUACUGCAUGCAAAUGCUAAUGCUGCAGAUAUUGUCUUUGGUUCAAAGAAUACCCCAAAUGACAAAACAAGGUCAUCCCAUCAUAGGCUCAGCAACACACAACUCUUCAAUGUGACUCCAUUUGAUACCAAUCUUGCAUCGUCAAAUUAAUUUUUGCGUGCUUUUUUCAUUCUCUAAAAGAGCUCAACUUCAAGUGCUCCGCUGCAUCUGAUGCCUUUCUUUCUUCUCUCCAUCUUUCUUCUCUCAGCGUGUUUCUCAUUGUUUUUCUUUCUCUUUUUAAUGUCCCCCCUAAUUUUUCUGUCAAAUCUUAAGUUGCUUGUGCAUAAAUUUGUCACACCUAUAAAUAACAAUCCACACUUCACCUCAUUCUCAUUGUCCAAUUUCUAUGUUUCUUCAUUACCUCUAGUUCUAAUUUUGGUUGUGUCGCAUACCAUACUAAAGCUAAAAACCCUCUCCAACUUUAUUCUCCUUGUGAUUACCUAUGGCAACCCAACCUGCCCGUCCAUGGUUUCGGCUAGGCUCCAUGGUCCGUCCGGCCACCACCCCUGCCCCUGCACCAACCCCUGCCCCGGCACCCGUGGUUAGACCUGCAUUCAGGCCAUUGACUCCUGCACCUGAACCAACCCCAACUCCACCACCAGCUCCAACCCCAACUCCAGCACCCACCACCACAGCUCCGCCACCACCUCCUGCAGCCGCUGCUCAGCCACCACCACCUCCUGCCGUCGCUGCUCAGCCACCACCACCUCCUGCCGUCGCUGCUCCGCCACCACCACCUCCGGCCGUCGCUGCUCAGCCACCACCACCUCCUGCCGCUGCUGCUCCACCGCCUCCUACUGCCGUUCUUAUGCGUCGGCCACCACCACCUGCGGCAACUCCAGCACCACCUCCUCCUGCGACUAGUACUACUGCAUCAGUUCCACCAUCACCAAUUUCAAAAGCAGCAUCUUCUUCAGUGCCAUCAUCUCCUGGAAUCAGGGUUGGUAUAGCCCCAUCUUCUUCAGUGGCACCAUCUC
This 36028-nucleotide long non-coding RNA is filed under the name Prunus persica (peach). RNAcentral describes it as "long non-coding RNA (PPER_LNC002766)". Lineage: Eukaryota; Viridiplantae; Streptophyta; Magnoliopsida; Rosales; Rosaceae. The record is from RNAcentral.